AGUCGAGCGAGCGGAACUAACAGAUUUACUUCGGUAAUGACGUUAGGAAAGCGAGCGGCGGAUGGGUGAGUAACACGUGGGGAACCUGCCCCAUAGUCUGGGAUACCACUUGGAAACAGGUGCUAAUACCGGAUAAGAAAGCAGAUCGCAUGAUCAGCUUUUAAAAGGCGGCGUAAGCUGUCGCUAUGGGAUGGCCCCGCGGUGCAUUAGCUAGUUGGUAAGGUAAAGGCUUACCAAGGCGAUGAUGCAUAGCCGAGUUGAGAGACUGAUCGGCCACAUUGGGACUGAGACACGGCCCAAACUCCUACGGGAGGCAGCAGUAGGGAAUCUUCCACAAUGGACGCAAGUCUGAUGGAGCAACGCCGCGUGAGUGAAGAAGGUUUUCGGAUCGUAAAGCUCUGUUGUUGGUGAAGAAAGAUAGAGGUAGUAACUGGCCUUUAUUUGACGGUAAUCAACCAGAAAGUCACGGCUAACUACGUGCCAGCAGCCGCGGUAAUACGUAGGUGGCAAGCGUUGUCCGGAUUUAUUGGGCGUAAAGCGAGCGCAGGCGGAAGAAUAAGUCUGAUGUGAAAGCCCUCGGCUUAACCGAGGAACUGCAUCGGAAACUGUUUUUCUUGAGUGCAGAAGAGGAGAGUGGAACUCCAUGUGUAGCGGUGGAAUGCGUAGAUAUAUGGAAGAACACCAGUGGCGAAGGCGGCUCUCUGGUCUGCAACUGACGCUGAGGCUCGAAAGCAUGGGUAGCGAACAGGAUUAGAUACCCUGGUAGUCCAUGCCGUANACGAUGAGUGCUAAGUGUUGGGAGGUUUCCGCCUCUCAGUGCUGCAGCUAAC
RNAcentral lists this ribosomal RNA (830 nucleotides) under uncultured bacterium. RNAcentral's name for it is "bacterial SSU rRNA". It matches the Rfam family "Bacterial small subunit ribosomal RNA", at positions 60 to 856 of the family's 1533-position model. The record is from RNAcentral.